Molecule: transfer RNA, 71 nt
Filed under: Marmota monax (woodchuck)
Lineage: Eukaryota; Metazoa; Chordata; Mammalia; Rodentia; Sciuridae
Description: tRNA.Ala
Rfam family: tRNA
About the family: Transfer RNA (tRNA) molecules are approximately 80 nucleotides in length. Their secondary structure includes four short double-helical elements and three loops (D, anti-codon, and T loops). Further hydrogen bonds mediate the characteristic L-shaped molecular structure. tRNAs have two regions of fundamental functional importance: the anti-codon, which is responsible for specific mRNA codon recognition, and the 3' end, to which the tRNAs corresponding amino acid is attached (by aminoacyl-tRNA synthetases). tRNAs cope with the degeneracy of the genetic code in two manners: having more than one tRNA (with a specific anti-codon) for a particular amino acid; and 'wobble' base-pairing, i.e. permitting non-standard base-pairing at the 3rd anti-codon position.
Source: RNAcentral
GGGGUUGUGGCUCGGUGGUAGAGCGCUCGCCUGGCAUGCGGGAGGCACUGGGUUCAAUCCUCAGCACCACA